This 3786-nucleotide long non-coding RNA is filed under the name Capsicum annuum. RNAcentral describes it as "long non-coding RNA (CANN_LNC021529)". Lineage: Eukaryota; Viridiplantae; Streptophyta; Magnoliopsida; Solanales; Solanaceae. The record is from RNAcentral.
UUUUACUUUUUGAUUUUUUCUAAUUUUUUUUUAUCCUUUCUCUCAUUUUUUGUAUUUUAUUUUUUGUUUUUCCUUGUUUUCUUCUUUUUUUAAAUUAAAAGUUUUGGGCCAUUGGGCACUUUUACUAACAAAUAAAAUUUACAAAACAAUAAAGGUCCAACAACCCUAAUCGGGUUAAAAACUCAACCAAUAAAACUAAAAACCUAUCUUCUAUAAAUUUGUCCGAAAAUAUCUAAAGAAAAAGAAAAAUAAUAAAAAGAGGAAAAGGAAAGUGAAUUGUCAAUUGUCAUCUUCAUCUUUGCUGUAAUCUUCCCUCCAAUUCUGAAAAUGGCGAUGUAAGUAGCUUUCUUAUUGUUAAUCAAGCUCAAAUCGAGAAAUGCAUGAUGAAUUUUGGGCAUUUUCAUCUAAGGUGUUAAAAAUCUCACCAACACCAUGAAAUUGUCCCAAUCGAAGACUUCAACUCAUAUAGCUUCCAAUCCGAACUUAUUACAACAAGAUAAGUUUUCUUACUUUUACCCCUAAUUUAUUUCUCAGUUAACAUCAAAUCUCAUCAAUUUCAUCUCUCCGACAGAUUGAGCUUAACUAAAAGUCGAUACCACUGCCUAAGAAGAAACCAUUUAAUGAUUAUUUGACCUUAAUCAGAAACUUGAGCUCCGUAGAUCUUAUUGAGGUAAUUUUGCUUUUAAUUGAAACUACCAUUGUAGUCUGUAGAUGAUAAUUGUUGUUGUUGAUUGUGUCUGAACACAUCUACAUCUUGUGCUAUGAAAUUUGUUAUUCGCAGAUCAUUAACUUUUUCUUGUACCUCGUAACAGAAGCGAACCCAGGAUUUGAAGUCUUUGGGUGCAUCGGUAUUGUCAAUGGCGCGCAUAAGCCUCAAAGCAAGACUCAAAAUGUGUUAAGCACUCGUAUCACUUAAUAUGCAACUUAGGUUCUAAUUUCUAAUAUAUACUGUCCUUGUCAUGAGGUUUUCUUAAAAGACGACUAUUUCACUUUAUCAAAAAAAUAAAAAUUCAUAUAUUUGUCAUAAUCUUGGACUAGACAUAUAUUUAUAUUUUUUUCUCUUUUUGCUUUUUUUUUGGUUAAAUUUCACGUUUUAUUUAUACUUUGUGCUUAAACACAAUAGACCGUGAAGUUUUUUUUACGCUUGUUGCUUUUGAUAAUACUGUGGAGCCCAAUAUUAUCUUAAGACAUUAGAAAAAUUUUCAGUGUCGAUUAAGAAAUAUUAUCAUAUUCAAUUGAUCGUCAAAGAUAUAAACAAUACUGAAAAAAUAAAUAUAUAGAACAAGUAUGAGUUCUAAGCUAAUAGCUUUACUUUCUUAUAAUAUGAGGUUUAUUUUUAAGAUGGUUAGAUAAUUAUUUGUAGUAGCUCAAUGGUCAAAAGGGAUUCACUUCAUGGGAUGGUUGCAGAUUCGAAUCCUCAUUCCAACAUUUUAAUGUUAUAAAUUUAGUAAUAGAAAAAAUAUUAUGCUACCAGGGAUUGGUCGCAUGGACGAAAGCAUUGGCUUUAACCAAUGCAUCAAUGGACGGAAGCAUUGGCUUCAACCAUCUCAUCAAGGUGCACUAGCAUUCAACUUAAUGUAGUAGUAAGCCUUUAAUCUGAAGAUUGAAAAUAAAAGAGAAAAUGUUGCGCGAUCCCGGGAUCGAUCCCUGGUCACGUGGAAGGAUAUGAUGUCUUCAGCCAGCGCGGGAAGGUGUACUAGCAUUCAUUUGGGGUGCAUUAUUAACUAUAUCUCAAUUUCUGAAAGUAUAUACACAUGUAUACAUAUAAUUUUUUUUGACGUUAACAGGUGCACGUGCACCCCCACUAAUAGCUGUGGGUCCGCAUCUGCAAUCACAGAUCUAAAGAUGUUUUGUCUGAGAAUAGAGCUCAGACCAAAGAGAUAUAUAAAUUGGCCAAAUGCUACAUCUAUUUGAUGCUUUAACACUAGUAUUAUAAUAAGAUUAAAGGGUUCAUUACGGAUUAAGUCUAAACAGUAGAAAUUAAUGCAUAUUAACUGGUGGUUGUUUUGUUGCAAAACAAUAGGAAUUGUUCUGAUGUUUCAUCCACCUCUUUUCCAUCCAUUUCAAUCUCAUUGUUCACACUCAUAAGAUUUAUAGGGCUUUAUUUUUUUGUAGAUCCUACGCAUUUGAUUGACACUCAUCAGUUAUUUUUUUCAACUUUUAUAAUCCAUUUUCCUUCAAAAACAAAAAAAGGCCCAAGGAAACCCCAAGCUCAUAAUGACAUUUAUUUACCCUGUGAUUAUAGUGACUUCUCCAGAAGCAGAGGCGAACCCAGGAUUUGAAAUUUAUGGGUUCACCGGUGUUGUCAAUGACGCGUAUAAUCCUCAAAGCAAGACUCAAAAUGUGUUAAGCGCUCGUCUCACUUAAUGUGCAACUUAGGUUCUAAUUUCUAAUACAUACUUGCCCUUGUCAGUUAAUGAGACUUUCUUAAGAGACGACUAUUUCACUUUAUCAAAAACAAAAAAAAUUUCAUAUAUUUGUCAUUCAUGCUUAUAUUAUUAGUCUUAGACUAGACAUAUAUUUAUAUUUUUUCUCUUUUAGCCUUUUUUGGUUAAAUCUCACGUUUUAUUUGUACUUGGUGCUUAAACACAAUAGACCGUGAAGAUUUUUUGUGCUUGUUGCUUUUGAUAAUACUGUGGAGCCCAAUAUUAUCUUAAGAUAUUAGAAAAACUUUCAGUGCCGAUUAAGAAAUAUUAUCAUAUUCAAUUAGUCGUCAAAGAUAUAAACAAUAUUGAAAAAAUAAAUAUAUAGAACAAGUAUGAGUUCUAAGAUAAUAAUUUUACUUUCUUAUAAUAUGAGGUUUAUUUUUAAGAUAGUUGGAUAAUCAUUUGUAGUAGCUCAAUGGUCAAAGGGAAUAAGCCUUUAAUUUGAAGAUUGAAAAUAAAAGAGAAAAUGUUGCACAAUUCAGGGAUCGAUCCCUGUUCGCGUGGAUGGAUGUAAUGUCUUCAGCCAGCGCGGAAAGAUGUACUAGCAUUCAUUUGGGGGUGCACUAUUAACUAUAUCUCAAUUUCUGAAGGUAUAUACACAUGUAUACGUAUAAUUUUUUUCGACGUUAAUGGGUGCACGUCCACCCCCACUAAUAGCUGUGGGUCCGCCUCUGCCUUGUAAGAGACUAAAAACCUUGAUUUGUGUACUGCAUGUUUGAUUGUUGGAUGUCGUAGCAUUGUUGUUGUUUAGACAGGACCAAAAUCCAUAUUUUGCAUCUUUCUAAUUCUUAAACUUGGAAGUUGUUCCUUGUCCAUAUUCAACAAGAUCUUUGCUUUAGUUGAUAAUUGUUGAUAAUUGAAAAAUAAUAAUUGUUAGUACCUGCAAAAGCAAAGACACAGUUAACUAAAAAAUCGGCAAGCUGAUUACCUUGUCUGUAAAUGUGUUGGACCACCACCUUUCUUCCCUUUAUUAGAUUUUGAAUCCUCCUUAUUUCAUUAGAAAUACCCCAUGGAAUCUCCCACUGAUUUGUAACAAAUUUAUGAACAGCCAAAGAAUCAGUUUCGAAGCAUAAAGACAUCAAAUUAUGCUUAAUACAAUAUUCCAAUCUCAAUCGUAAUGCCAAAGCUUCAGCCACUAAAUUGAUUUCAUUAGGAAUUCUUCUAAUUUUAGCAUGAAUUAACUCUCCACUGUGAUUCCUAACACAAAAAGCUUCUAAACUUGGGUCAGGAUUGCCCUUCACAUCAGCAUCGAAAUUACAUUUGUACUGAUUUAUAUUAGGAAAAUUCCACUUCACCACAACACUUCUCAGGGUAGGCCUAUAUUCUGAUAAAAAACUCACUAAAUCCAUCCAAGAAUCUG